This 48-nucleotide non-coding RNA is filed under the name Schistosoma curassoni. The record is from RNAcentral. Lineage: Eukaryota; Metazoa; Platyhelminthes; Trematoda; Strigeidida; Schistosomatidae.
AUCCAGCUGACGAGUGCCAAAUAGGACAAAACGCGCGUCAAACUGCAU